Molecule: transfer RNA, 81 nt
Filed under: bacterium
Lineage: Bacteria
Description: tRNA-Leu
Rfam family: tRNA
About the family: Transfer RNA (tRNA) molecules are approximately 80 nucleotides in length. Their secondary structure includes four short double-helical elements and three loops (D, anti-codon, and T loops). Further hydrogen bonds mediate the characteristic L-shaped molecular structure. tRNAs have two regions of fundamental functional importance: the anti-codon, which is responsible for specific mRNA codon recognition, and the 3' end, to which the tRNAs corresponding amino acid is attached (by aminoacyl-tRNA synthetases). tRNAs cope with the degeneracy of the genetic code in two manners: having more than one tRNA (with a specific anti-codon) for a particular amino acid; and 'wobble' base-pairing, i.e. permitting non-standard base-pairing at the 3rd anti-codon position.
Source: RNAcentral
GCUCCCGUGGCGGAACGGUAUACGCGCAGCGCUUAGGACGCUGUCCCGAAAGGGGUAGAGGUUCAAAUCCUCUCGGGAGCA